GCACUCCAAACGCAGCGCAGAUUUAUUGCGCUCACCGAUAUUUAUGGUAUUUUGUGUGGUUUUGUUCUGUUUAAUUUUUUCCUCCUGGUUUCAAGUCGAGUGUGUAAUAACCCAGAUCGGAUGCUACCUACCUAACCACCAGCCGCCAGCAGCAGCCGCAAUCUGUUGCACCGAUAAAGCGUUCUGCAACCAAUUUUGUGGUCCACCGUCGUCUAACGUCUAGCGUCUUCAAGUCGGCUCGUUUGAACGGCGUCGAUUGCGGUGUUUGAUUUAUAAUUCUUAUAGUGUAGAACUGGCUUACGUCCGCAAUCAUUCGUGCGUGUACACAGAAAUCGUAGUCACAUGCCAACGUAUUUCAGCUAAUCGAAGUUCGAGUUUGGUAUGAUUGUGUAAUUGUUAUUGGUUUUUAUUGGUCUAGUGCACUCAUCAUCGGCAGUGUUAUCAAAUCAGUUGUAACCGUUGGUUAAAAGCGAAAUUUGAGCAAAUUCAAAUAAAUGUACUAAAAAUAAUCUUUCAUAUACUUAUUCCAAGCCAUCGUCACUGGAUAGUUUUCAUAAAUUCACAAACGGUUUGAGUCUCGGGUAAACAAUGCCCACCGCGACACACUAUCCAGUUGAUUUACCGUCAUCGAACGGAACUACCAACUGGGCAGAGAUAAAAAGUUUUUCUUUUUCCCAGCUUUUGUGUGGUAAAACAAUUACAACACAAAAGCUGGGAAAAAGAAAAGCUUGGUAAAUAAGCAGUGCCGGCAAACGACUUCAACCAUUUCAGGAAGUCAGAAGUGCGCGACGGAAAAUUAAAUUUAAUAUUGAAUUAUUGGAAAAAAGGUGAAUAUAGAUGGUAGAGGAAAACGGAUAGAAUCUACGUAAGAAAACAGGAUUAUAGAACAAUAGAAGGAUAAGGAAAAUAGAAAGAGAAGAGCUGAAAAAACGGAAGAAAAGGUCCGUCCAGCGAGCCUUUUAUUUUACGUGCUGAUUUAUUUCCAGCAACAGCUCAGCCAUCCAUUUUGUUGGACGUCUGAAUUCCGUUUCCGCCAUCGCGCAGAAGAGAUACUGAAAGCGCAGAAGUCCCCGACGAAGUAGCUAGGGGCAGCUGGAAGGUUAAGCAUAGGAGACGGUGUACCAGAACACGGAGAGAGAAAGAAAAACCUAAGUCAUAGUUACCGCAAGUAUACGCAUGCAAACUGUUGAAAUAUUGUGACGUCAUAAACAUUAAGGAGAAAGAGGAAAUAGGGACAGGUGAAAAGAAAUAGAGAAUAGAAAAAUGAA
Long non-coding RNA from Toxorhynchites rutilus septentrionalis, 1268 nucleotides. RefSeq lists it as uncharacterized. The transcript has 3 exons. NCBI's taxonomy places the organism in Eukaryota, Metazoa, Arthropoda, Insecta, Diptera, Culicidae. The record is from RefSeq and is a predicted model, not a curated record.